Molecule: long non-coding RNA, 225 nt
Filed under: Elaeis guineensis (African oil palm)
Lineage: Eukaryota; Viridiplantae; Streptophyta; Magnoliopsida; Arecales; Arecaceae
Description: long non-coding RNA (EGUI_LNC072433)
Source: RNAcentral
GAGACUCUAGUCUUCGAGACCGACAUCGUAUGCUCAGCUCCAAGAAUUUUCACUUCAUAUAGCAGAUUAAUACAUUGCUCUUUAAAACCAUACUUGAGAAAAGCUUUGUAUAUAGGUCACAUUCGUGCGAGAGGGUGAUUUUGUCAAAAAUCAUGUGGCUCUUGGAUCUUUUAUUAAACAAUUUACAAGAGUUCUCAGAUGGUGUUACAGAAGACCUAAUAGUGG